CGACAGCAACUUGGGGGAAUGUAUAGCUUAGGCUAACUAUAUUUGGUUUAUUAACCUUGAUGUUUAUUCACGUUAAUAAAUUGGUUAUAAAAAAAAUAUAGGAUUGACUUUGUCGAAUAAAGUUCUAGGUAGAAUACUGAUUAUGACUAUUUUCUAUCUAUGUGUCUUGACCAAAUUACGUGCCAGCAGUCGCGGUAAUACGUAGAAGACUAGUGUUAUUCAUCUUUAUUAGGUUUAAAGGGUACCUAGACGGUAAAAUUAGUCUAAAAUAUGAUACGGUUUUGCUAGAGUUAUAUAUAAGAAGGUGAGUAUUUAAGGAGUAGAGUUGAAAUUCAUUAAUACCUUAAGGACUGGUAAAGGCGAAAGCAACCUUUUAUCUAAUAACUGACGUUGAGGGACGAAGGCUCGGGUCGCGAACAGGAUUAGAUACCCUAGUAGUCCAAGCAGAGAAUUAUGAAUGCCAUAGAUUAGAAUAUUUUAGUUUAUAAAUGAAAGUGUAAGCAUUCCACCUCAAGAGUAAUGUGGCAACGCAGGAACUGAAACCAU
This 546-nucleotide ribosomal RNA is filed under the name Clarireedia homoeocarpa. RNAcentral's name for it is "SSU rRNA". The stretch from base 87 to 546 matches the Rfam family "Bacterial small subunit ribosomal RNA", at positions 1 to 909 of the family's 1533-position model. Lineage: Eukaryota; Fungi; Ascomycota; Leotiomycetes; Helotiales; Rutstroemiaceae. The record is from RNAcentral.